UACACCCAACAUUUUGCAGCUUAUAAUAUACGUAAGGUAUAUCAGCCAAAUUCUUAUAUUCUCCAUUCAUAAUUCCCACAACUCAUUCUGCCGAGGAGGAGCUCAUGUUUUUUUUUUAAAACAGUCAAGCAGUUUCAUAGCUUCAACAUCAAAGCAAAUUCAUAUCUUUGAACAGAACAUCCCCAAGGCUUUGUGACCAGGGGGAUUAGCGCUGCUUUCCCAAGACAGGUUUAUAUGUGAUUAUGAUCUUCAGGCUUUGCCUAACCAGGUGGGCUUACUUUCCAAAUGUACAAAGUAUGAUUGAGUUAUUAAGCUCUAAAUGUUUCAAUGAAAUGCAAAUUGUUUAUUUAAUGUAAUGAAAACUGUUUAUCCAAUAAAAUGUUUAUGUGCACUCUGCUCUGUUUAAGGCUCGCAAUUCAUGGAUCGAUCGAGGUUCUCUUAUGGCCUAACACGUUAUUUGAGAAUUGUGUACACUUGUUAGUUGUUUCGGUGGGUUGAUCUCCAUCGGGCACUAAUUCAUGUAAGAGGCGUUAUAAGGGUGCUUGGCUGGAUGUGUUCCGGAGCAUGUAUCAUGUAAGGCCUGCCUGGGUAGCGUCCCGAGGUCAAUUCAACUUGUCUGAGUUACGUCCUCAGGGCAAGUGCAAUGGGAGAAAUGGAUCCGUCGGUGGCUAAAAGGUCCGGGAUCACAGCGAGUAACAGAAAGGGAGUGUGACAUGUGCGCACAAAUGAAAAAUGUUUUAACAUGCUUAGAAGUUAUUUCAUUUUAAAACCUUCUAAGUCAUGUCAAGUAUAAUUAGAUAAACUGCUCUUACGAAAAUAUGAAAUGUUUAUGAAAAUGCAUGCCCACUAAGUACAUUAGUACUUAGCCCAAAAAUACUUUCAAAUGUUUUCAGGUUGGUUGGCUGGUGCUGACAGGACGGAGCUGAGGCUAGAGUUAAAAUUCAUAUGUUAGACUUCCGCUGUAGCAAUUACUCUUAUACAUCUUUUGUUUUCUCAACUUAAGAUGACUUCAUGUCGAGCUUAAAUUUGAAAUUCUAGUUUUAUGCUAAUGAAUGUUGGUUGUCAGAAACAUGAAACAAAACUUGUGAUCCAAAGGGGCAUAGCCCGACUUUCUAUCUUAUUAUUCGGGUUUUAACAAGGUUGUUCCUUGUUUAUUUCUA
Molecule: long non-coding RNA, 1160 nt
Organism: Salvia miltiorrhiza (redroot sage)
Lineage: Eukaryota; Viridiplantae; Streptophyta; Magnoliopsida; Lamiales; Lamiaceae
Exons: 2
Source: RefSeq, a predicted model, not a curated record